Molecule: ribosomal RNA, 301 nt
Filed under: uncultured bacterium
Lineage: Bacteria
Description: partial 16S ribosomal RNA
Rfam family: Bacterial small subunit ribosomal RNA
Source: RNAcentral
CAGUAGCCGCGGUAAUACAGAGGGUGCGAGCGUUAAUCGGAUUUACUGGGCGUAAAGCGUGCGUAGGCGGCUUCUUAAGUCGGAUGUGAAAUCCCUGAGCUUAACUUAGGAAUUGCAUUCGAUACUGGGAAGCUAGAGUAUGGGAGAGGAUGGUAGAAUUCCAGGUGUAGCGGUGAAAUGCGUAGAGAUCUGGAGCAAUACCGAUGGCGAAGGCAGCCAUCUGGCCUAAUACUGACGCUGAGGUACGAAAGCAUGGGGAGCAAACAGGAUUAGAUACCCGCGUAGUCCCUGUCUCUUAUAC